GCCGUCGGGCACACAAUCCAUUGAUUCACACAUAAGGUUUGCCUUUUUUUUCUUCUCUUUGCAUUCUUUUCUAUUAAGUUUUUAGAUCUUUUGUGUUGGCCAACGAAAAAAAGAUUUAGCACCCUAGAUUUCUACUUUAUAUCAGUCUGGAAGCUCACCAGCCAAUCAAUCCACUUGGAUUUCAAAGAUAUAAUGGACUAUAUUCACUCACGUUGCCCACGCCCUGUUGUUUCAUAGAUAUAUCUAUGCAUAUUUUGGUAUUGCAUCGUUAAGCAGUUCCUGGGAAUUACGUGCAUCAGGCAUAAGUUUUAUUUCCUCUAUGCUUUAGUUGGAAAUGGCAACUUGAUUUAACUAGAUUGGUUGUAAGCUUCGCUAAAUUCCACAACAGUUAUAUUCGUGAUGGGAUCACACGAAUGCCCUGGUGCCCGGUGUUCAGUGUGUUGUUCGAUGAGCAGUUGGGUAUUCCCAGGCCCAUAUGAGCACUUGGGUGGCUGACUGGUUGUAUGUGGUACUUAAGUUACAUUUUUCUUCUAUAUACAGAAUAAAUUCUGCAAGGCCCGUGGCGACUGAAAAUUCUGCUUUAAGCAGUCCCUGGGAAUUACGUGCAGCAGGUGUAAGUCCUAUUUCCUCUAUGUUGGGAAUUACAUUUUUCUUCUAUAUACAGAAUAAAUUCUGCAAGGCCCGUGGCGACUGAAAAUUCUGCAAGGUUUUAUGUACAUGAAAAGGUAAAUUUCAUAUAGUUGCAAUUGCAACCAGAGAAUCCAUGGUUUGUUAGUUUGUUUCUCAUUAUAUGCAUGGUCUUUCCUUUGAAAUUCCAAUAUUUAUAUUGUAGAAUUGCCAGUUAUAGAACAUAUGACAAGGUAUUUUCAGUUGUGAUAUCAGAGUGUCCUUUUUGUAAUUUUCAUUUGUAGCACUGAGUUGUGCAGAUUUAUGAUGGUCAAAAUAAUGUUGGCUAAAUCUAUUAGUAGAGUUAUUUAUUCUGUUCUGCACACCUGAAUAUUCAGAGUUAUAUGCAUGCAACGACGUCUACAUGUACUCGGUCGAUGAUCACUACUCUGCAGUACAAAAUUUCUAUGAGCACACUUAAGCAGAGUUAUAUGCAGACAAUUAACAGUAAUAGCAAUUGUUGUUAUUUUCAGAGCAGUUUUAAUUUUAAAAAACAUGUACUUGAUUAAUCUUUUCUUUUCUUUCAUGCAACGAAUAGAGUAUACACAAUAUACUACAAUUUGGUGUAACCCACACAAGGAUUCAAGAAGCAGGGCCAAACAGGACUAAUGAAGACAUAGCACAGUACUGUUCUUCAGGAUAUGAUGUUUAUUUUUGCCAAAAUUAUUAAGAGAUGAAGUAGUUUAUUAGGUUUCCAUUCCUUAUAUUGUGCAUUUUUUAUGUGACUAUUCUCGGUACAUAUAUUCUUAAGAAAAACAAGAUAGUUGUUGAAUGCUCUCUGAAACAUAGCAUAGAUUUUUUGUCGAAAAUAAUACUCUAUUUACUUUGAAUGUGAGUUCUGUUUUGCUUUAAACAGCUGAGUGCAUUCUGAAAUAUUGUCUCAAAGAACAAGGUGCAUGUUGAGUAUUUCUCCUCCCUCCCUCAUCUGAGCGAAGAAGACAUGCUGGAGUUGGGCGACUUCCACACCUCCCUCAUCGACGGCGUCUACAAUAUACUUGGCAAAGUCGAGGACGUAUACAAGAUUCUCGGCAACGACAAUGGUGUCUCCUUCCACCUUUUCAACAAAACCACACUUGGCGCCAGUAAGCACUCCCUCGCCCACCUCUCUUCCUCAUGCCUCCAACGUGUUGUGCUUUCCGCGGCCGCUGAACGCACAACGCCGCUGUGUAACCACUUGCUCCAGUACAUGUGUGCAUUUCAGUUUUCUACUCGGCAUUCUCUCAACAAUCUCAAGUUAUUUGGUGAUUGGUUCUUUGACUUAUAGGCUAAAUCACAUGGUUGAACUCACGAUCUUCUAGAGCCAAUAUUUGUGGAGCCUACGGGGUUUUUUUUUUGAAAGGGAAAAUAAAAAUCACUAUGUGAGGGUUUGUUACAAAAAACAUAAUCUUAGAACUUUCAUAGUUUAGCAAGUAUCUGGUUCUGAACUUUCGAAGAGUGCUUAUAACAGUAAUUUCUUCAGUCUUUUGUAUCAUUUUCCAGGAAUUAUUGCAAAUACAAGUAUUACACCUCUAUAUAUUAUAUUAUUUGUAAUUCCGAUUUAACAACGAUUCUGUUGUAGUAGCAUCCUUGUAGUUCACCAUUGGGAUGUGCACAUUUAGUCUUUAUUAGUAAUACAGUUUCUUGAUUUUCCUUGUAGUUCACCAUUGGUAUGUGCACAUUUAGUCUUUAUUAGUAAUACAAUACUUGAUUCUUGAGUUCUGAACUGAUUCAUGACAGUAAUGGUACGAAGUGAAAAAGAAUUCUUGCUGUGAUAUGGAUCCCUGUUCUGAUUUUAGUGAUUGACGCCGCCGUCUUCCAACACAUGACGGCUGCAGCCCCAUCCACCAGGCCACCUACACAGUGUCGCACCUAUUAGCCAGCAAAUCGCAUGUGUUCAUGUGUGUUGUUCCACCGAGAUCAUCGAUCAAGUCAUAGCUAUCUAGCUUCCACGGAAGCAUCCACCUACCAGCUAGCUUGCUGCUUGUACGUGUGCAUCAUCUGGGACAGAUCCGCCGGCUAGCGCGGCUAGCGACCGCUGUGUACGUACGUGCUCUAGCGGUAAGUACGUAGCCAACACAGACCGCAGCCAUCUAUACCAGGGAUCCUCCGCCCUACCGAGUCUUGCAAGCGAUCAUUGUAACUUUGUAAGAAAUAUUUCUGUUUGAUACUGUCAUGCGUUGUUGUUGCACUGUCACAACCAUCCAUCUACACACCAAAUAUAUGUGAACAAGAUUCAUUGGGGUUCCUAUUAUGGCACUGAGUUGAAUCGACAAAGAAGCUUCCAUUCAGCAUGCUAUGUCAAUGGAAGAAUAUCUGAAGCAAACCUCUGCUACUUCUCUGUUCUCUUUCAUUUGUCGUGGGCAGCCAAAUUGGUUGAAAUAGUUAUGGCCAGGGAAUGUGGCAGCAGCCAAAAAGGGGUUUCUCUAUGCCACCCCUCUGUUCUCUUUCAUUUUCUAUGGGCAACCAUGUUGCAUCUUAUAGAUUAGUGAUCAAGAUGUAAAUAUAUCAUUUGUGUCUUUACGUUACUAAAACUUUGUUGAGAAUUGAUUAAUUUUAGAUUUGCUUCUAGAAAUAAAUUUACAUCUGAAGAAUUGGAGCAAUUAUGGCACUGAGUUGCUGAGAUAGUAGGUGUAGGACUUGGUGAUGUAAUAAUGAUCAAAAUUCAUACACACAAUAUUGGACAGGAUAACAGUAUACAUGCUUUCGUGAGAUGAUUGGUCUUAAGCAUAAAAAUGCUUCCAUGUGCCAAUGCACAAUAAAGAGUUCUAUGUUUUUGUACCACUUUAUUUUGUGCAUUAGAUCUGAUAGUAUAUGUUAGUAUAUGUGCCAUUUCAGUUUUCUAAGCAUAAAAAUGCUUCCAUGUGCCAAUGCGCAAUAAAGAGUUCUAUGUUUUUGUACCACUUUAUUUUGUGCAUUAGAUCUGAUAGUAUAUGUUAGUGAAUUUCAUUUUUGUUGAAAUAGAUUACAAGUGAAGAGGAUUUCAAUUAUUUUCUGUAUGUUAUUGGCUAUCUUGUCUAUACAUGUGAAAUUUGAUAUGCAAUGAGUAACAACCAACCCACAAUGAAUAGGAUGACAUAGUAAUGCUACGAAUAACCCAUUAUCAACAAAAGAACGUUCUCAAUCUUUUUAAGGCCCGUGGCAACGCACGGGCACUCUACUAGUAUAUAUAGUGUUACUAUUCAUCACCUAGGGUGCAGAAUAAGUUAUUCUUCAUCCGAGGUAAUAUUACGAUCAUUUCAUAAUUAAAUUAUGUUUGGAAUUCAAAUAGUUACAUUCAUAUUGAUUCACUACGUAAAAUUUGGCAUAAGAAAAAUAAAAAUAUAGGUCAUAAGACAAGAAAAUUUACAGUUUAUGUGUAUUUUACACUAUAUUUUUACGUUUGUAAUUUUACAUAACAUAAAAUAUUUUUUACAACGAUUAUAUAUUUUCUUACAGUCUCUUUUUAUGUCGGAAAUAAGACAAAACUUACGGAACGUAAAAUUACGAUGAAUUGAUGGUAAAAUAGAGGGGGUGAAGAAUAACUAUUCCUCAUCCAGGGUGACGAAUAGCGCGACCAUAUAUAUCUAGCCUUGUCAUCAUGAUCACCAUUGUCUCUACUUUUUCCGAAAACGGUAUGACCAACUGAUUAAAUCCUGAAACUGAAGCUUGAUCUUUAUUAAAAUUGAUCGUGGUGUACUUUUCAGCUGCAAUCAAGUCUUGGAUAGAAAAUAAACGUGUUUGGACGAUAACUCACUGUUUUGUAUCAAUUUGAGAAAUAGAUAUUGAUGGGGUUUGUAGUAGCGUGUCUGUUUUCUGAAUUUCUUCUCCAUAUCACUCAUUCUCUUGACGUGUCUGUUCAAAUGUCCCUAAUGUUCUGAUUUUGUUUUCCAUGUUUCUUAAAACUAACAGGUGGUGGUGUCUAAUCCUUGAUGGUGGGGGUCUCAUUUUGGGGGAAAUCUGGAGAAGUCUUGGUUUGAUGGAGUUUUGCUAUCAACUUACUGUAUCUCAUUGAGGGAAAACUUGGAGAAUUUUCAGACUAUGGGUUCACAACAGAGCAUUGCAGUCAAAUUGCUAAAUCAGUCAGCAAGUAACGGGCAUGAGCAUCGUGUAUGUCGUGUUUUACUAGCUAGAAAAUACAUUCCUAGAAAGGAUUGGUGCUUGGACAUGUUACUCUUGUGCGAUAUCAUAUUUACAUAUCUUUACUUAAACCAUCGAUGUUGCAUUGACGAUUUGCUCCAAAUAACCAUUGACGCUGCAUUGCCG
Molecule: long non-coding RNA, 4887 nt
Filed under: Triticum aestivum (bread wheat)
Lineage: Eukaryota; Viridiplantae; Streptophyta; Magnoliopsida; Poales; Poaceae
Description: long non-coding RNA (TAES_LNC024449)
Source: RNAcentral